AAAAAGCUGCCACAUAGACUUCCAACCAAGUAAUAAAGCUACCCCAGACAAUAAAAAUAUAUUACCCAGAGCCAGCAAGCCUCUGUCAAAGAAGAGAAGCACCCCCAGAAACGAGAAUAGGAUGCUGAAACCUAUUAGACCUAUGCCCACCUUUUUCAUCUCACUCAUUUCGUUCGCCAUUGUUCCACCAGCUUAUGGAGUCGUAUAGCAGUUAAUGGACUUUUAUAAACCUCAAAAUUGAAUUGAAUCUCG
RNAcentral lists this unclassified non-coding RNA (252 nucleotides) under Hevea brasiliensis (rubber tree). Lineage: Eukaryota; Viridiplantae; Streptophyta; Magnoliopsida; Malpighiales; Euphorbiaceae. The record is from RNAcentral.